GAUGAACGCUGGCGGCGUGCCUAAUACAUGCCAGUCGAGCGAACAGACGAGGAGCUUGCUCCUCUGACGUUAGCGGCGGACGGGUGAGUAACACGUGGAUAACCUACCUAUAAGACUGGGAUAACUUCGGGAAACCGGAGCUAAUACCGGAUAACAUGUUGAACCGCAUGGUUCAACAGUGAAAGACGGUCUUGCUGUCACUUAUAGAUGGAUCCGCGCCGCAUUAGCUAGUUGGUAAGGUAACGGCUUACCAAGGCAACGAUGCGUAGCCGACCUGAGAGGGUGAUCGGCCACACUGGAACUGAGACACGGUCCAGACUCCUACGGGAGGCAGCAGUAGGGAAUCUUCCGCAAUGGGCGAAAGCCUGACGGAGCAACGCCGCGUGAGUGAAGAAGGUCCUCGGAUCGUAAAACUCUGUUAUUAGGGAAGAACAAAUGUGUAAGUAACUAUGCACGUCUUGACGGUACCUAAUCAGAAAGCCACGGCUAACUACGUG
Molecule: ribosomal RNA, 497 nt
Filed under: uncultured bacterium
Lineage: Bacteria
Description: partial 16S ribosomal RNA
Rfam family: Bacterial small subunit ribosomal RNA
Source: RNAcentral